This 759-nucleotide ribosomal RNA is filed under the name uncultured fungus. RNAcentral's name for it is "SSU rRNA". It matches the Rfam family "Eukaryotic small subunit ribosomal RNA", at positions 564 to 1329 of the family's 1831-position model. Lineage: Eukaryota; Fungi. The record is from RNAcentral.
GUGCCAGCAGCCGCGGUAAUUCCAGCUCCAAUAGCGUAUAUUAAAGUUGUUGUGGUUAAAAAGCUCGUAGUUGAACCUUGGGCCUGGCUGGCCGGUCCGCCUCACCGCGUGCACUGGUCCGGCCGGGCCUUUCCCUCUGUGGAACCCCAUACCCUUCACUGGGCGUGGCGGGGAAACAGGACAUUUACUUUGAAAAAAUUAGAGUGCUCCAGGCAGGCCUAUGCUCGAAUACAUUAGCAUGGAAUAAUAAAAUAGGACGCGCGGUUCUAUUUUGUUGGUUUAUAGGACCGCCGUAAUGAUUAAUAGGGACAGUCGGGGGCAUCAGUAUUCAACUGUCAGAGGUGAAAUUCUUGGAUCAGUUGAAGACUAACUACUGCGAAAGCAUUUGCCAAGGAUGUUUUCAUUAAUCAGGAACGAAAGUUAGGGGAUCGAAGACGAUCAGAUACCGUCGUAGUCUUAACCAUAAACUAUGCCGACUAGGGAUCGGACGGUGUUAUUCAUGACCCGUUCGGCACCUUACGAGAAAUCAAAGUGCUUGGGCUCCAGGGGGAGUAUGGUCGCAAGGCUGAAACUUAAAGAAAUUGACGGAAGGGCACCACCAGGGGUGGAGCCUGCGGCUUAAUUUGACUCAACACGGGGAAACUCACCAGGUCCAGACACAAUAAGGAUUGACAGAUUGAGAGCUCUUUCUUGAUUUUGUGGGUGGUGGUGCAUGGCCGUUCUUAGUUGGUGGGGGUGACUUGUCUGCUUAAUUGCGAU